GACGAACGCUGGCGGCGUGCUUAACACAUGCAAGUCGAACGGAAAGGCUCCAGCUUGCUGGAGUACUCGAGUGGCGAACGGGUGAGUAACACGUGGGUGAUCUGCCCUGCACUUCGGGAUAAGCCUGGGAAACUGGGUCUAAUACCGGAUAGGACCGCACUUUGGUGUGUGUGGUGGAAAGGUUUUUCUGGUGUGGGAUGAGCUCGCGGCCUAUCAGGUUGUUGGUGGGGUAAUGGCCUACCAAGACGGCGACGGGUAGCCGGCCUGAGAGGGUGGACGGUCACAGUGGGACUGAGAUACGGCCCAGACUCCUACGGGAGGCAGCAGUGGGGAAUAUUGCACAAUGGGGGAAACCCUGAUGCAGCGACGCCGCGUGGGGGAUGAAGGCCUUCGGGUUGGAAACUCCUUUCGCUAGGGACGAAGCUUUUUGUGACGGUACCUGGAGAAGAAGCACCGGCUAACUACGUG
Molecule: ribosomal RNA, 468 nt
Filed under: uncultured bacterium
Lineage: Bacteria
Description: partial 16S ribosomal RNA
Rfam family: Bacterial small subunit ribosomal RNA
Source: RNAcentral